Long non-coding RNA from Zalophus californianus (California sea lion), 1970 nucleotides. RefSeq lists it as uncharacterized. NCBI's taxonomy places the organism in Eukaryota, Metazoa, Chordata, Mammalia, Carnivora, Otariidae. The transcript is spliced from 3 exons. The record is from RefSeq and is a predicted model, not a curated record.
CGCGGCUGCCCCGGCGCCCCUCGCCCCCGCCAGGCCGGGUCCUCCGCGCGCCGCUGGACAGAAGGAUGGGAGAAUGUGGCACCUGAAACAGCUGCAUCCACCUUGUGACCAGGAGGGAGUCCACACACCUGGGAUGACAAGGUGGUGUGCUCUCUCCCCCUCUCUCUAAAAGAAGAAAAAAAAAGAUUACUUCACAUCCACGAGACUGGUGAUAAUCAAAAGACAGAUAAUAACAGAUGUGGAGAACUCAGAACUCUCAUCCUCUGCUGGUGAAAAUGUAAAAUAGUUCGGCCACUUUGGAAAACAGUUUGGCACUUCUUCAAAAAAUUAUAUAUAAAGGUUAAACAGAGAGUCCAUCCCUAGGCAUAUUAUACCCAAGAGAACUGAAAACUUAUGUCCACACAAAACCAUGUACAGGAUUGUUCAUAGCAGCAUCAUUCAUAAUAGCCAGAAAGUGGAAAAACCUAAAUGUCCGUCAACUGAUGAAUGGAUAAAUAAAAGAUUUAAUAUCCAUAGAAUGAAAUAUUAUUCGGUCAUAAAAAGGACUGUAGUACUAACAUGCUACAAAAUGGAUGAAUCUUAAAAACAUGCUAAGUGAAAGAAGAAAGACACAAAAAAUCACAUAUUGUAUGACUCCAUUUGUAUGACGUAUCCAUAACAGACAAAUCCAUAUAGACAGAAAGUAGAAGUGGUUGACAGGAGCUGGGGGAAGAUGGGAAUAGUGGUUAGUACUAAUGAAUAUGAUUUCUUUUUGGUGUGACAAAAAUAUUCUGGAACUAGAUAUUGGUGUUGGCUGCACAACCUGUGAAUGUACUAAAAACUACAGACUAGUACACUCGAAAGGGGUGAAUUUUAUCUCAACUUAACCAUGGAAUACACUUUAUCCUAAGUUCAUACAUAGAGGCAUUGGGCACUCUGAUUAAGCACACAUGUUACCUGAAAACCUGACUUGAUCAUUUCCUAAUAACAUGGUCAAAUGAUGUGCUCUGAGACAGAUUACGUACCUGCUCUGUGGCGUAGUAUCCUCAUCUGAAAAAUGGAGGCAAUGAUACUGCCUACUUCAUAGGGUUAGACUCUGUGAGGAUUAACGAAUAAAUCCAGGGGAACACUUUAGCACCUGGUAUAGCACAUAGUAAGAGCUCAGUAUUAGGUAGUAUUCAUUUUCUUAAAAACUAUUUCAGGUAAUUUCAGAAGUGCUGAAAGACAUAGAACACUAUAUGAAUCAGGAAGUCAUGAGGCAGAGGGCAUUUACAAGUAAGGAAGGGAAAGAGGGUUCAAUUCCUUUUAAGUAAAAGUGGAUAUUGUAGGUGGACCAAGCUUUUUAACAAUCUCUCUGUUCCUCAAGCCUGCUUUCUUCUUCUUAGCACCUAUUACCUUUUGAUAUUAAAUGUUUGUUAUUUGUCUCUCUCUCCCAGGAGAAUGUAAACAUUAUCAGUGCACAACUUUAGUUUUGUUCAGUGCUCUUCCUGGCACCUGGAAAACAAUGCAGGGCCCACAGGAGGUGCUCAAUUGGUAUCUGUGAAUGUACAGAAUAAAGGAAUGUGGGAAGGAACCAGGGAGACUGCUGUUGAGAGGUUUUGGUUCUUGUUCCAAUCUGGAACAGGUAUGGGUUCUUAUCAUCACUGAUUCCAGAGCAGAGGCUGGGAAGCUGAAGCCUCCCCAAUUCACCACAGGCUUUGCCAUGAACUGAAUUGUGUCCUAAAGUUCCUUUGUUGAAGCCUUAACCCCCAAUAUGAUAGUAUUUGUGGAUGGAACUCAUGGGAAGUAAUUAGGGUUAGAGAUGAGAUCAUAAGGGUGGGGCUCUUGUGAUGGGAUUAGUGACUUUAUAUGAAAAGGAAGCAAGAAGAGAUGGUGGCUCUCCGCCUUGUGAAAAGACAGAAAAAGCGGCCAACUGCAAGCUAAGAAGAGAGCUCUCACCAGGAAUUGAAUUGGUCAACACCUUGAUCUUAGACUUCCAGCCUCCAGAACUU